GACCCUGUCCACUCCGUUUCACAGAUGAGGAGCCUGCAGCUGGCAAACACCACUGCAGGAGGAGUGCUGACCUCCAGGCUGUGCAGAGCAUCGUCCGUGAGACCCGUGAGGGUGUUCGUACUAAUUAUUCCUGCUUUUGAGUAAUGAAGGUGACCAAACCACAUGACCCUGCCUGCAAAGAUUCCACCUGGACUCCCGGUUCCUCCAAGGAACCGUCGCGUGGUUCAAAUCCAAC
This 235-nucleotide long non-coding RNA is filed under the name Pan troglodytes (chimpanzee). RNAcentral describes it as "lncRNA (ENSPTRG00000054441.1)". The record is from RNAcentral. Lineage: Eukaryota; Metazoa; Chordata; Mammalia; Primates; Hominidae.